UGGGGAAUCUUGGACAAUGGGGGCAACCCUGAUCCAGCGACGCCGCGUGGGUGGUAAGGCCCUAGGGUUGUAAAACUCUUUCACCGGUGAAGAUAAUGACGGUAGCCGGAGAAGAAGCCCCGGCCAACUCCGUGCCAGCAGCCGCGGUAAUACGGAGGGGGCUAGCGUUGUUCGGAAUUACUGGGCGUAAAGCGCGCGUAGGCGGGCCGGUCAGUUGGGGGUGAAAUCCCGAGGCUUAACCUCGGAACUGCCCUCAAAACUACCAGCCUUGAGUCCGGGAGAGGUGAGUGGAAUUCCUAGUGUAGAGGUGAAAUUCGUAGAUAUUAGGAAGAACACCAGUGGCGAAGGCGGCUCACUGGCCCGGUACUGACGCUGAGGCGCGAAAGCGUGGGGAGCAAACAGGAUUAGAUACCCGCGUAGUCC
This 423-nucleotide ribosomal RNA is filed under the name uncultured prokaryote. RNAcentral's name for it is "bacterial SSU rRNA". It matches the Rfam family "Bacterial small subunit ribosomal RNA", at positions 355 to 796 of the family's 1533-position model. The record is from RNAcentral.